RNAcentral lists this ribosomal RNA (423 nucleotides) under Triticum aestivum (bread wheat). Its description in RNAcentral is "partial small subunit ribosomal RNA". Lineage: Eukaryota; Viridiplantae; Streptophyta; Magnoliopsida; Poales; Poaceae. The record is from RNAcentral.
AUGCCGGCUUUCGGUGCUGUCCUCCGGGACCACAAGGGCAAAUUUGUGGCAGCAGCAAAUGAACGGUUGAGUCUCUGUUAUGAUCCAUUUUCGGCUGAAGCAAUUGCAGUCAGAUUUGGAUUAAAUCUAACUAAGAUGGUGGGGUGCAGUAAAUUAGAAGUGAUGUCAGAUAAUGUGGAAGUGGUCUCGGCCUUGAAAGAUGGUACUUCUAGCUCAGUUGCAAGUGCUAUUUUCGAUGACUGUUAUUAUAUGUCAUCAGAUUUUAAUCACGUUGUGUAUGAUCAUUGUAAUAGGGAGAGCAACCAGGUCGCUCAUGAACUAGCUAGGCUAGCUAAAUACUCUCCCCCUAGUAUCUGGAUGGAUUCUCCUCCGAAUGAGGUGGUUCCCUUGGUUGUAAACGAUGCUACUCUAUUGACUGAAUAA